This 2929-nucleotide ribosomal RNA is filed under the name Bacillus sp. RZ2MS9. Its description in RNAcentral is "23S ribosomal RNA". It matches the Rfam family "Bacterial large subunit ribosomal RNA". The record is from RNAcentral. Lineage: Bacteria; Bacillati; Bacillota; Bacilli; Caryophanales; Bacillaceae.
UUUGGUUAAGUUAGAAAGGGCGCACGGUGGAUGCCUUGACACUAGGAGUCGAUGAAGGACGGGACUAACGCCGAUAUGCUUCGGGGAGCUGUAAGUAAGCUUUGAUCCGAAGAUUUCCGAAUGGGGAAACCCACCAUACGUAAUGGUAUGGUAUCCUUAUCUGAAUACAUAGGGUAAGGAAGACAGACCCAGGGAACUGAAACAUCUAAGUACCUGGAGGAAGAGAAAGCAAAUGCGAUUUCCUGAGUAGCGGCGAGCGAAACGGAACAUAGCCCAAACCAAGAGGCUUGCCUCUUGGGGUUGUAGGACAUUCUAUACGGAGUUACAAAGGAACGAGGUAGACGAAGCGACCUGGAAAGGUCCGUCGUAGAGGGUAACAACCCCGUAGUCGAAACUUCGUUCUCUCUUGAAUGUAUCCUGAGUACGGCGGAACACGUGAAAUUCCGUCGGAAUCUGGGAGGACCAUCUCCCAAGGCUAAAUACUCCCUAGUGAUCGAUAGUGAACCAGUACCGUGAGGGAAAGGUGAAAAGCACCCCGGAAGGGGAGUGAAAGAGAUCCUGAAACCGUGUGCCUACAAAUAGUCAGAGCCCGUUAACGGGUGAUGGCGUGCCUUUUGUAGAAUGAACCGGCGAGUUACGAUCCCGUGCGAGGUUAAGCUGAAGAGGCGGAGCCGCAGCGAAAGCGAGUCUGAAUAGGGCGUUUAGUACGUGGUCGUAGACCCGAAACCAGGUGAUCUACCCAUGUCCAGGGUGAAGUUCAGGUAACACUGAAUGGAGGCCCGAACCCACGCACGUUGAAAAGUGCGGGGAUGAGGUGUGGGUAGCGGAGAAAUUCCAAUCGAACCUGGAGAUAGCUGGUUCUCCCCGAAAUAGCUUUAGGGCUAGCCUUAAGUGUAAGAGUCUUGGAGGUAGAGCACUGAUUGGACUAGGGGUCCUCAUCGGAUUACCGAAUUCAGUCAAACUCCGAAUGCCAAUGACUUAUCCUUAGGAGUCAGACUGCGAGUGAUAAGAUCCGUAGUCAAAAGGGAAACAGCCCAGACCGCCAGCUAAGGUCCCAAAGUGUGUAUUAAGUGGAAAAGGAUGUGGAGUUGCUUAGACAACUAGGAUGUUGGCUUAGAAGCAGCCACCAUUUAAAGAGUGCGUAAUAGCUCACUAGUCGAGUGACUCUGCGCCGAAAAUGUACCGGGGCUAAAUACACCACCGAAGCUGCGGAUUGAUACCAAUGGUAUCAGUGGUAGGGGAGCGUUCUAAGGACAGUGAAGUCAGACCGUAAGGACUGGUGGAGUGCUUAGAAGUGAGAAUGCCGGUAUGAGUAGCGAAAGACGGGUGAGAAUCCCGUCCACCGAAUGCCUAAGGUUUCCUGAGGAAGGCUCGUCCGCUCAGGGUUAGUCAGGACCUAAGCCGAGGCCGACAGGCGUAGGCGAUGGACAACAGGUUGAUAUUCCUGUACCACCUCUUUAUCGUUUGAGCAAUGGAGGGACGCAGAAGGAUAGAAGAAGCGUGCGAUUGGUUGUGCACGUCCAAGCAGUUAGGCUGAUAAGUAGGCAAAUCCGCUUAUCAUAAAGGCUGAGCUGUGAUGGGGAAGCUCCUUAUGGAGCGAAGUCUUUGAUUCCCUGCUGCCAAGAAAAGCUUCUAGCGAGAUAAAAGGUGCCUGUACCGCAAACCGACACAGGUAGGCGAGGAGAGAAUCCUAAGGUGUGCGAGAGAACUCUGGUUAAGGAACUCGGCAAAAUGACCCCGUAACUUCGGGAGAAGGGGUGCUUUCUUAACGGAAAGCCGCAGUGAAUAGGCCCAAGCGACUGUUUAGCAAAAACACAGCUCUCUGCGAAGCCGUAAGGCGAAGUAUAGGGGGUGACACCUGCCCGGUGCUGGAAGGUUAAGGAGAGGGGUUAGCGUAAGCGAAGCUCUGAACUGAAGCCCCAGUAAACGGCGGCCGUAACUAUAACGGUCCUAAGGUAGCGAAAUUCCUUGUCGGGUAAGUUCCGACCCGCACGAAAGGUGUAACGAUUUGGGCACUGUCUCAACCAGAGACUCGGUGAAAUUAUAGUACCUGUGAAGAUGCAGGUUACCCGCGACAGGACGGAAAGACCCCGUGGAGCUUUACUGUAGCCUGAUAUUGAAUUUUGGUACAGUUUGUACAGGAUAGGCGGGAGCCAUUGAAACCGGAGCGCUAGCUUCGGUGGAGGCGCUGGUGGGAUACCGCCCUGACUGUAUUGAAAUUCUAACCUACGGGUCUUAUCGACCCGGGAGACAGUGUCAGGUGGGCAGUUUGACUGGGGCGGUCGCCUCCUAAAGUGUAACGGAGGCGCCCAAAGGUUCCCUCAGAAUGGUUGGAAAUCAUUCGUAGAGUGCAAAGGCAUAAGGGAGCUUGACUGCGAGACCUACAAGUCGAGCAGGGACGAAAGUCGGGCUUAGUGAUCCGGUGGUUCCGCAUGGAAGGGCCAUCGCUCAACGGAUAAAAGCUACCCCGGGGAUAACAGGCUUAUCUCCCCCAAGAGUCCACAUCGACGGGGAGGUUUGGCACCUCGAUGUCGGCUCAUCGCAUCCUGGGGCUGUAGUCGGUCCCAAGGGUUGGGCUGUUCGCCCAUUAAAGCGGUACGCGAGCUGGGUUCAGAACGUCGUGAGACAGUUCGGUCCCUAUCCGUCGUGGGCGUAGGAAAUUUGAGAGGAGCUGUCCUUAGUACGAGAGGACCGGGAUGGACGCACCGCUGGUGUACCAGUUGUUCUGCCAAGGGCAUAGCUGGGUAGCUAUGUGCGGAAGGGAUAAGUGCUGAAAGCAUCUAAGCAUGAAGCCCCCCUCAAGAUGAGAUUUCCCAUAGCGUAAGCUAGUAAGAUCCCUGAAAGAUGAUCAGGUUGAUAGGUUCGAGGUGGAAGCAUGGUGACAUGUGGAGCUGACGAAUACUAAUAGAUCGAGGACUUAACCAUAUAA